CCAGGUGGAUGCAAGCAGCAUCCAUGGGUGGGGGAAAGGUUGGACUCCUGCUGACCCCUCCUUGCUGUGUGCCCUCUCAGGUGGCGCUGCUGGAUACUGCUUCCUGCCCUGAGGAGGAAGAGUUCCCGGAGGCCCUAUGCCCCAGGGAGGAGGAAGAGGAGGAGGAAGAAUACAGGCAAAGGAGAUCUGUCACCUUCACACUGGGAAAUGAGAUACUGGGGCUGGGCCCAGAAAGUGAGUUUCAGAGCCCUGACGCCGAGGUCUACAUGCACUUCUUAAGGAGCCACUGCUGCUAUGAUGCCAUCCCCACCAGCUGCAAGCUUGUCGUCUUCGACAUCUCCCUGGAGAUCAAGAAAGCCUUUGUGGCACUGGUGGCCAAUGGGGUGCGCGCUGCCCCACUCUGGGAUAGCAAGACACAGAGCUUUGUGGGGAUGCUCACCAUCACCGACUUCAUCAACAUCCUGCACCGUUACUACCGUUCACCCCUGGUUCAAAUCUACGAAGUGGAGGAGCACAAGAUUGAGACGUGGAGAGAGGUGUACCUGCAGGGCUCCUUCAAGCCAUUGGUCUACAUCUCCCCAAGCAAUAGCCUCUUUGAUGCUGUCUACUCCCUGAUCAAGCAUAAAAUCCACCGCCUGCCUGUCAUCGAGCCUGUCUCGGGCAAUGUCCUGCACAUCCUGACGCACAAGCGCAUCCUCAAGUUUCUCCACAUCUUUGGCUCUACCAUUCCCAAGCCACGCUUCCUGAAAAAAACAGUGCAGGAGCUGCGCAUUGGCACCUUCCGUGACCUGGCUGUCGUGCCUGAGACUGCCCCGAUCUACACUGCCUUGGAUAUCUUCGUGGAUCGCCGUGUCUCUGCCUUGCCCGUCAUCAAUGAUGCCGGGCAAGUGGUUGGCUUGUACUCCCGGUUUGAUGUCAUUCACCUGGCAGCUCAGAAGACCUACAACAACCUGGACAUCAGUGUGCGAGAGGCACUGCGGCAGCGCAGUAUCUGCCUGGAGGGGGUCAUCACCUGCUACCCCCAUGAGCACAUGGAGGACAUCAUUGACCGCUUUGCCAAGGAGCAGGUCCAUCGCCUGGUUCUGGUAGAUGAGAACCAGUACCCGCGGGGCAUUGUCUCCCUCUCUGACGUCCUCCAGGCCCUUGUGCUCACUCCCGCAGGUAUCGAUGCUCUUAACUCUUAGCCCACGGCGCUCCAUCUUUCUCCACUUGCACUCUCCAUUUCUCUCCACUUCAGAAUCACAGGGGAUCCCUGGUGUCCGUGAGGAAGGAUGAGGACAUUUGCCAUGAAGACAGCCCCCCUAAACCCCCAUUCAAGCAGUGGAAGGCAGGUUUUGCAGGUCUCUGGGCUUUGGGCUGGAUGAGGGUUUUGGGGUGUGAUGCACCCUAAGAUAAAAAUCUAUUUUUAAUCUCACCUCAAACCCUGCGAUCUGAGCACCUCCAGUGCCAUUCCUGGGGGACACAGAAGGGACAGAUCUCCACUUGCACCCUCAUGACGUGCUGCUAUUGACUAGCCGUGUGCGCACCACAGCUGACCCAUGGGCCCUGGCUGGCAGAGGCCCCCAACCCCUCCACCUGCAGCAGCCCCAAAACUGCCUGCUCCAGGGACAGGGUUCACUCUCAGGUGGCACUGGGACCAUGCUGCCCAACUGCCUGCAGCUGGCUCUGCUCACCCACUGCCUGGCGAGUCCUCACUGGUGAUAGGCGGGCACUGUGCUUGCACCCACUGUGGCAGCUCUUUAGGGCUGGAAUGGGGAGGGGAGAGCUGGCCCUGGGUCUCAGUUGCUUUCCAAGGGUAACGAUGCUUUUUUUGGGGUAGUGGUGGAGAAUGGGCUUGGGACAGGCCUGUGUCCACCAGUUCCCCCAGCAGUGCCCAGCUGCUCUGGACAGGAGGGGACUGGGAGUGGUGUGUGUUAGUCACACACACAACCCUCCUCCCCCCAUUUCCCAAUCAAGGUGCUUUCACUUACCCCAUCCCUGGUGACCACAGGGAUGGCUGGAUCAGGAGCUGCAGGGGGCCCUCUCCAGGCCAGCUGCCCUCCCUCCUGUCCCAGAGAUUGCAUUCAAGCCAGGAAUGGAGGCGAGACCCCGGUGUCCACCAGGAUAGGUUGGGAGGGCAAUGCCACAGGGUGCCCAGUCCAGCACUGUUUUGGGGUUAUGGCCUCGCAUGCUCUC
RNA transcript from Chiroxiphia lanceolata (lance-tailed manakin), 2175 nucleotides. It is a transcript of the gene named protein kinase AMP-activated non-catalytic subunit gamma 3, with no coding region annotated. The transcript has 12 exons. Lineage: Eukaryota; Metazoa; Chordata; Aves; Passeriformes; Pipridae. The record is from RefSeq and is a predicted model, not a curated record.